AGGAUUAACGCUGGCGGCGUGCCUGACACAUGCAAGUCGAACGAGACCGCAAGGCCGAGUGGCGGACGGGUGAGUAACACGUGACCAACCAACCUCGAAGUUGGGAAUAGCUCUGCGAAAGUAGGGGUAAUACCGAAUGUGGCCCAGGGCGGGCAUCCGCCUUGGUCUAAAGAUUCAUCGCUUCGAGACGGGGUCGCGGCCUAUUAGCUUGUUGGUGAGGUAACGGCUCACCAAGGCGAUGAUGGGUAGCUGGUCUGAGAGGACGACCAGCCACACUGGGACUGAGACACGGCCCAGACUCCUACGGGAGGCAGCAGUGAGGAAUCUUCCGCAAUGGGCGAAAGCCUGACGGAGCAACGCCGCGUGUGGGAUGAAGACUCUAGGGUUGUAAACCACUGUCGGAGGGGACGAUCGUGACGGUACCCUCCAAGAAAGCCCCGGCUAACUACGUGCCAGCAGCCGC
Molecule: ribosomal RNA, 463 nt
Filed under: uncultured bacterium
Lineage: Bacteria
Description: SSU rRNA
Rfam family: Bacterial small subunit ribosomal RNA
Source: RNAcentral